Molecule: small nuclear RNA, 105 nt
Filed under: Microcebus murinus (gray mouse lemur)
Lineage: Eukaryota; Metazoa; Chordata; Mammalia; Primates; Cheirogaleidae
Source: RNAcentral
GUGCCAACUUCGGCAGCACUUAUGCUAAAAUUGGAACAAUAACAGAAGAUUAGCAUGCCCCUGCGCAAGGAGGACACUCAGAUUCCUGAAGCGUUCCAUAUUUCU